Molecule: long non-coding RNA, 1028 nt
Organism: Bombyx mori (domestic silkworm)
Lineage: Eukaryota; Metazoa; Arthropoda; Insecta; Lepidoptera; Bombycidae
Exons: 3
Source: RefSeq, a predicted model, not a curated record
UUUCAUACUGGCUGCUGGGUUUCUUAGUGUAGUUUCUAGUAGAAUAUAUGCUAGUAAAGGCAUUUAUGUUCUUAAAUUUAUUUUUAUAAUCUUUUAUUAUAUAUUUUUUUUAUUACCCUUGUAGGCAGACGAGCAUACGGCCCAUCUAAUGGUGAGUGGUUACCGUCGCCCAUGGACUUCAGCAAUGCCAGGGGCAGAGCCAAGCUGCUGCCUAAAGCUUAAUACUCUCCACAAGCCUCUUUUAAAGAAGGACAUGUCAUAGCGCUCAGGAAACACCGUGGAGGGGGCUCAUUCCUUAGCCGGAGGUAAGCGCAGUCACAUAUUUCAUAUCAAAACGACCCAGGAAACGACCUACAAUGAAAUAAGUUAGAAGUGAGCGAUCCGUAUCGUUUGAACGUUGAUUACACAAGUGAACAUGAGGUACCGUAGCAAAGUUAAUGCAUAAUAUCUGGAACCACAGCGUAACUUCUAUAGUGCGCUUUAGAAUUACCUCCUUGCACGGUGUUUCUGGAGUGCUGUGACAUAUUCUUCUUUGAACAAGGCUUAAGGAGGGUCCUCAGCAGAGAUCAACAGCUUGGCUAUGCCUCUGAUAUUGCUAAGGUCCAUGAGCAACGAUGACUACGAAGGCAAUAAAAUAACAUUGUGGUUGAGAUUAAACAUUUUCAACAACAUUAACUUCAGUGUAUUCGGAUAUCAGUAGACAUUUUGUCCAGGCAAAUACUCUAGCUAGUGGCUCAUAAAAAUCAGGUUGAUUGUACAAGAAUAACGGUGUUGAAAAUUUUAAUGAGUUAGGCGUUGUAUCUGAAUUUUAAUGUACUAUUGUUUUAAAUUGGCGAAGUUUACGAAAUAAAUAUUUGUUUUAGCCUGUUACAACACUACUUGAGUGCCUAAAUGUUUUAUUAGAUGAAAUGUAUGUUUUGUUGUGAAUUAAUUGACGUUGUAACUUUAAUUUUUUUAUUUGAGUUUAUAUGCUGUUUUUUCUUAGUAGUUAUUACUAAAUACUAAAUAAAUUAAUACUAAAUGAAUUA